GGGGGGAUAGCUCAGUGGUAGAUAGCAUGCUUGGUAUGCCUGAGAUCUUGGGUUCAAUCCUCAGUACCUCCA
RNAcentral lists this transfer RNA (72 nucleotides) under Camelus bactrianus (Bactrian camel). It matches the Rfam family "tRNA". From Rfam's summary of the family: Transfer RNA (tRNA) molecules are approximately 80 nucleotides in length. Their secondary structure includes four short double-helical elements and three loops (D, anti-codon, and T loops). Lineage: Eukaryota; Metazoa; Chordata; Mammalia; Artiodactyla; Camelidae. RNAcentral also lists the same sequence under 2 other names. The record is from Rfam by way of RNAcentral.